GUUAAGUUAGUUUAAAAAACGUUAAAUUGUGGUUUUAAAAUUAAGCUAGUCUUACUUAACU
Molecule: transfer RNA, 61 nt
Filed under: Nierstraszella lineata
Lineage: Eukaryota; Metazoa; Mollusca; Polyplacophora; Lepidopleurida; Nierstraszellidae
Description: tRNA-His
Source: RNAcentral